UGCAGUAGAACGCUGAAGACUUUAGCUUGCUAAAGUUGGAAGAGUUGCGAACGGGUGAGUAACGCGUAGGUAACCUGCCUACUAGCGGGGGAUAACUAUUGGAAACGAUAGCUAAUACCGCAUAACAGCAUUUAACUCAUGUUAGAUGCUUGAAAGGAGCAAUUGCUUCACUAGUAGAUGGACCUGCGUUGUAUUAGCUAGUUGGUGAGGUAACGGCUCACCAAGGCGACGAUACAUAGCCGACCUGAGAGGGUGAUCGGCCACACUGGGACUGAGACACGGCCCAGACUCCUACGGGAGGCAGCAGUAGGGAAUCUUCGGCAAUGGGGGCAACCCUGACCGA
RNAcentral lists this ribosomal RNA (343 nucleotides) under Streptococcus lutetiensis. Its description in RNAcentral is "bacterial SSU rRNA". It matches the Rfam family "Bacterial small subunit ribosomal RNA", at positions 56 to 390 of the family's 1533-position model. Lineage: Bacteria; Bacillati; Bacillota; Bacilli; Lactobacillales; Streptococcaceae. The record is from RNAcentral.